GGGGUUGUGGCUUAGUGAUAGAGUGCUUGCCUAGGAUGCGUGAGGCACUGGGUUCGAUCCCCAGCUCCUCG
RNAcentral lists this transfer RNA (71 nucleotides) under Ictidomys tridecemlineatus (thirteen-lined ground squirrel). RNAcentral describes it as "Spermophilus tridecemlineatus (thirteen-lined ground squirrel) tRNA". It matches the Rfam family "tRNA". Rfam says of the family: Transfer RNA (tRNA) molecules are approximately 80 nucleotides in length. Their secondary structure includes four short double-helical elements and three loops (D, anti-codon, and T loops). Further hydrogen bonds mediate the characteristic L-shaped molecular structure. tRNAs have two regions of fundamental functional importance: the anti-codon, which is responsible for specific mRNA codon recognition, and the 3' end, to which the tRNAs corresponding amino acid is attached (by aminoacyl-tRNA synthetases). tRNAs cope with the degeneracy of the genetic code in two manners: having more than one tRNA (with a specific anti-codon) for a particular amino acid; and 'wobble' base-pairing, i.e. permitting non-standard base-pairing at the 3rd anti-codon position. The record is from Rfam by way of RNAcentral. Lineage: Eukaryota; Metazoa; Chordata; Mammalia; Rodentia; Sciuridae.